Molecule: ribosomal RNA, 490 nt
Filed under: uncultured bacterium
Lineage: Bacteria
Description: partial 16S ribosomal RNA
Rfam family: Bacterial small subunit ribosomal RNA
Source: RNAcentral
AUUGAACGCUGGCGGCAGGCCUAACACAUGCAAGUCGAACGGUAACAGGAAGCAGCUUGCUGCUUCGCUGACGAGUGGCGGACGGGUGAGUAAUGUCUGGGAAACUGCCUGAUGGAGGGGGAUAACUACUGGAAACGGUAGCUAAUACCGCAUAACGUCGCAAGACCAAAGAGGGGGACCUUAGGGCCUCUUGCCAUCGGAUGUGCCCAGAUGGGAUUGGCUAGUAGGUGGGGUAACGGCUCACCUAGGCGACGAUCCCUAGCUCGUCUGAGAGGAUGACCGGCCACACUGGAACUGGGACACGGUCCAGACUCCUACGGGAGGCAGCAGUGGGGAAUAUUGCACAAUGGGGGCAAGCCUGAUGCAGCCAUGCCGCGUGUAUGAAGAAGGCCUUCGGGUUGUAAAGUACGUUCAGCGGGGAGGAAGGGAGUAAAGUUAAUACCUUGGCUCAUUGACGUUACCCGCAGAAGAAGCACCGGCUAACUCCGUG